Molecule: ribosomal RNA, 452 nt
Filed under: uncultured bacterium
Lineage: Bacteria
Description: bacterial SSU rRNA
Rfam family: Bacterial small subunit ribosomal RNA
Source: RNAcentral
UACGGAAGGCAGCAGUGGGGAAUAUUGCACAAUGGGCGCAAGCCUGAUGCAGCCAUGCCGCGUGUAUGAAGAAGGCCUUCGGGUUGUAAAGUACUUUCAGUCGUGAGGAAGGUGUUAAGGUUAAUAACCUUAGCAAUUGACGUUAGCGACAGAAGAAGCACCGGCUAACUCCGUGCCAGCAGCCGCGGUAAUACGGAGGGUGCGAGCGUUAAUCGGAAUUACUGGGCGUAAAGGGCACGCAGGCGGUUAAUUAAGUUGGAUGUGAAAUCCCCGGGCUUAACCUGGGAAUGGCAUUCAAGACUGGUUAGCUAGAGUCUUGUAGAGGGGGUAGAAUUCCAUGUGUAGCGGUGAAAUGCGUAGAGAUGUGGAGGAAUACCGGUGGCGAAGGCGGCCCCGUGGACAAAGGACUGACGCUCAUGUGCGAAAGCGUGGGGAGCAAACGAGGAUUAGAU